GGAAGAUCGGCCUGGACGAAAUCCUCGCCAAACCGGUCAGGUCGGGAACGAAGCAGCCGUAACGAGUGUUUUUCGGGUCAGUGUCCGGUCUUCCACU
Molecule: signal recognition particle RNA, 97 nt
Filed under: Hyphomonadaceae bacterium
Lineage: Bacteria; Pseudomonadati; Pseudomonadota; Alphaproteobacteria; Hyphomonadales; Hyphomonadaceae
Description: signal recognition particle sRNA small type
Rfam family: Bacterial small signal recognition particle RNA
About the family: The signal recognition particle (SRP) is a universally conserved ribonucleoprotein involved in the co-translational targeting of proteins to membranes. Archaeal SRP consists of a 7S RNA and homologues of the eukaryotic SRP19 and SRP54 proteins. In most bacteria, the SRP consists of a 4.5S RNA and the Ffh protein (a homologue of the eukaryotic SRP54 protein).
Source: RNAcentral